Nicotiana tabacum (common tobacco) is the source of this 1530-nucleotide non-coding RNA. The record is from RefSeq and is a predicted model, not a curated record. NCBI's taxonomy places the organism in Eukaryota, Viridiplantae, Streptophyta, Magnoliopsida, Solanales, Solanaceae.
GUCGAUUUGGUGGAGGAUGACUUUACUCUUCGAGAGACGGCGAAGAUACACAUCUGUGACGAUGUUGGGUUGACCUCUGAGGCCCCACAACUGGAAGAGGCGAAUGCAGGCGUGCUGGUGUGUCCCGAGUGGGAGAUGGUCGUCGAGAGGACACUUGAUGAUGUCUCCAUGUUGGCGAGGUAGGAGGAGGCUUCAUCUUAGGCCGGUAGCGGAUGCUUCUCCGUCAGUCGAGGACAGGGGAAAUGACGUCAUCGAUGAGGGCGAUGAGUCAGGUUCCGACAUGGACCCUGACGAUCAUAGGAUGAUCAAUGAGAGGCUCACUCAAAUUGAGAUGAGGAUGGAGGGAGGUUCUAGGACCAUCACGAUCCCAAUGGAUCGUGAUUUACUGUGAAAUACUGAGGAGGUGCUCCCCGCUCUCGGUUCUCUCUGCUCUGACCCCGAGGGUGUGACCCUAAAGGAGAUAACUGACGGUACCUUGUCAAAGAACAUUGCCGGUCUCGCUCUCAGGACGGUCAUUCUGCAAAUUGAAAGUGCUCGGAGGGAGAAGAGACGUAAAGAAAUUUAAGUGAAGUUGAAGGGUAAGUACGAAGAGUAGCGUAGAGAGUACUGGGACCUUCGGAGGCGACUUCGCGAAGAGGGUGACGUGCCGGCCUUGAGAGAAGAACUGAAGAAAAAGGACGAAGAGCUCAUGGUGGCAGUGGAGAGGUUCAGCGUUCUUAAGGGAGCGUUGAAGAGAAAAGAAGAAGAACUCGAGCUAAGUAAGGGCAUGUAGGCCCAAUGCAGCGAUCUUCAAAUUCAGCUGGUUCAACUGCGAAGCCAGUUGGACAGGUGCCAGCUCGAAAUCGACACUCUUAGGGGGGAGGUCGCUGAGAAGCAACAGUUGCUCGAGCAGGCGGAGUCUUCCCGACUGGAUGCUCGGAGAAAGGUUGACAUCCUCGAGCUGGCGAAUAGGACUCUCUGCUCUGAGCGGGAUAAUGUUCUGUCAAUGGCUAGAGCUAAAGAGGAACGGCUUGAGGAGAGGAUUGGGGAACUGGACAAGGAAAACUCUGAGCUGCAUGAUCGAGUUGCUGCUCUUGAGGCCGAGAAAGCCUAGCUGCUUGCGCGAUCCUCUUCGUCUAAUGCUUCUGAGUAUCCUAACAUUCCUCGGAAGCUGUACGAGGAGUGGAUCCACGCUGAGGCCCGGCUGGAUGUGCUCCGUAAUUUGAAUACGACGGGCUCUAUUUUUGAGGCGGCCUUCGAGGAUGCUCGAGUCAAAGCUCGUGAGGUUCGGCUCGCUUGUGAUUAUGAUCCUGCUACGCCUCAAUCUGGUUCCGAGGAGGAUGAGGAUAAGGAUGAGGGUGUAGACCGGCUUGCGGACGGUGCUUGGUUUGACUCCGCUUACGGCCAAGGCGAGGAUGAAGAGGGCGUCGAAGGCCGGGAUGGUGAUGGCCACUAGUUUUAGUUUUAACUUCUUGUAUUUUUUUUGUUGGCGUCUUCAAGCGCUUUUUGUAAGAACUCUUCGUCUGAAUAUCAAAGUUGUCUUCUGUUUUA